This 356-nucleotide long non-coding RNA is filed under the name Mus musculus (house mouse). Its description in RNAcentral is "predicted gene 29078". The record is from RNAcentral. Lineage: Eukaryota; Metazoa; Chordata; Mammalia; Rodentia; Muridae.
AAGGGUGCAGUUGUGAAGGUGUUCUCCUCAUACAUGACCUGUAAGUGAUAAUCUGCCCUGAUCAGGGUUGUUGUACAGUUAAUCGAGGUGUGACAGGGUGGGGAAUCUCAGGCCCAGGAGGCCACUAAGUGAGGAAAAGCCUCCUGAUCGCCAUUUCCUGUGGAAUCUGAGGGUGAAUGGAAGGUGGAGGACCAUAUUCAUGGAAGAGGAUUGAACAGACUACUGAGUUCUUAAGAGAAGAAUGACACUUAAGAAAUUGAUGGUGAUACCAAAGGAAGGUUACUUAUUACACUUGGACUUUGAUGAUGAGCACGAUGACAUAAAAGUUUCAGAGGAGGCUCUUUUGGAAGGUAUAG